GUUGGAUGCUUGCAUUUAACUGACCUUCAUUGAGACGAGUGGCGAACUGGUGAGUAACACGUGGGUAACCUGCCCUUGAAGUAGGGGAUAACACUUGGAAACAGGUGCUAAUACCGUAUAACAACCAAAACCACCUGGUUUUGGUUUAAAAGAUGGCUUCGGCUAUCACUUUAGGAUGGACCCGCGGCGUAUUAGCUUGUUGGUAAGGUAACGGCCUACCAAGGCAAUGAUACGUAGCCGACCUGAGAGGGUAAUCGGCCACAUUGGGACUGAGACACGGCCCAAACUCCUACGGGAGGCAGCAGUAGGGAAUCUUCCACAAUGGACGAAAGUCUGAUGGAGCAACGCCGCGUGAGUGAUGAAGGGUUUCGGCUCGUAAAACUCUGUUGUUGGAGAAGAACAGGUGUGAGAGUAACUGUUCACAUCUUGACGGUAUCCAACCAGAAAGCCACGGCUAACUACGUGCCAGCAGCCGCGGUAAUACGUAGGUGGCAAGCGUUGUCCGGAUUUAUUGGGCGUAAAGCGAGCGCAGGCGGUUUCUUAGGUCUGAUGUGAAAGCCUUCGGCUUAACCGGAGAAGUGCAUCGGAAACCAGGAGACUUGAGUGCAGAAGAGGACAGUGGAACUCCAUGUGUAGCGGUGAAAUGCGUAGAUAUAUGGAAGAACACCAGUGGCGAAGGCGGCUGUCUGGUCUGUAACUGACGCUGAGGCUCGAAAGCAUGGGUAGCGAACAGGAUUAGAUACCCUGGUAGUCCAUGCCGUAAACGAUGAGUGCUAAGUGUUGGA
Molecule: ribosomal RNA, 785 nt
Filed under: uncultured bacterium
Lineage: Bacteria
Description: bacterial SSU rRNA
Rfam family: Bacterial small subunit ribosomal RNA
Source: RNAcentral